GACAAGUAGUGGUUAUUGGGGGGGUGGGGGAGGGGCGUACGGGAGGCAGCAGUCGAGAAUCAUUCACAAGGGGCGAAAGCAUGAUGGUGGGACGCUGCGUGGAGGAUGAAGGCAUUCGGGUUGUAAACUCCUGUCAUCAGGGAGUAGGUCAGU
RNAcentral lists this ribosomal RNA (153 nucleotides) under uncultured bacterium. RNAcentral's name for it is "partial 16S ribosomal RNA". It matches the Rfam family "Bacterial small subunit ribosomal RNA", at positions 74 to 455 of the family's 1533-position model. The record is from RNAcentral.